This 469-nucleotide unclassified non-coding RNA is filed under the name Hevea brasiliensis (rubber tree). The record is from RNAcentral. Lineage: Eukaryota; Viridiplantae; Streptophyta; Magnoliopsida; Malpighiales; Euphorbiaceae.
GGUUGGUAGCAAGGAUUCUUCUGUUCAUCUACUUCUUCACUCACAUGUUCAUCCACUUUGAUCAGGUGAAGAAAAUAUUUCCUUUGGGUUUCUAUAGCAUACUCUCAGCGGCACCUAUAAUGGCAGUGAUGAAUGUGGUUUGGUUUUGGAAGAUAGCAAAAGGUUUGAUUAAAACUCUUUCUAGAACAAAAAGACACAGUCAGUGAUUUUGUUCCAAUGGUGGCCUUGCACUUCAUAUUCUGUAUUAACAGAUAGGAAUUAAUUUUGGAACAGCAAUUAUUUUGAAUGGUUAAUGCUGUGCUUUAGACAUAGUAAUUAUUGUUCUAGCAAAUGUACAUUUCAUUUGAUUCUUAAUCUUUUUUUCUUUUAAUUAAUUUUAAAAGAAGAUAGCUCAUUUGAUCUUAACAGUAUGCUUGGAUCAAAUGAACAUAGAAUUUAUUUAGUUUGUGAAUGAAUUUCACAUUUGACA